RNAcentral lists this long non-coding RNA (443 nucleotides) under Gorilla gorilla gorilla (western lowland gorilla). Its description in RNAcentral is "lncRNA (ENSGGOG00000044580.1)". Lineage: Eukaryota; Metazoa; Chordata; Mammalia; Primates; Hominidae. The record is from RNAcentral.
CAGCCAAGCAGGAAGCCGGGACCGCCCUUUCUGGGGAGCUGGGAGUGGGCCAGGGUCCAGCCUGGCUGGAGGCUCCUGCUAUGGGGAGAGGCCAGAGCCUUUCCGAGCCCACCUGCCUGACAGCCCUGGUGCCAGCAGGCCCUUUCUGGAUGUCACAGUGUUCUUGUCUCUAAGAUUGAUCGCAGAGUUGAACAACAGAGAAUGUGUGCACAGUGCCAGGCACAGGUGUGGUCAAGAUUCACCUGGGAGAGGAAGCGGGCAGGGGCAGAGGAGUGUGGCCACCUGAGCUGAGAGGCUGCAUGGCAGGUGACCAUUAUUACCAGUGUCACUGGCCAGGUCACCUCUCUGAAUUUUGUGGUUGCAACUUCCAUGAUUCCCUAGAGCUGUUUUUACCUAGAAUUAAUGAAAAAUUCUGCACAUUAAAUUCGUGCUGUUAGAAUCAC